AGGCUAAUAGUUUAACGGUUAGAAUAGAUGAUCGAUAAUCGUCUGGUGAUGGUUCAAUUCCAUCUUGGCCUA
RNAcentral lists this transfer RNA (72 nucleotides) under Mixia osmundae IAM 14324. It matches the Rfam family "tRNA". From Rfam's summary of the family: Transfer RNA (tRNA) molecules are approximately 80 nucleotides in length. The record is from Rfam by way of RNAcentral. Lineage: Eukaryota; Fungi; Basidiomycota; Mixiomycetes; Mixiales; Mixiaceae.